This is a long non-coding RNA of Oncorhynchus mykiss (rainbow trout), 1793 nucleotides long. RefSeq lists it as uncharacterized. Lineage: Eukaryota; Metazoa; Chordata; Actinopteri; Salmoniformes; Salmonidae. The record is from RefSeq and is a predicted model, not a curated record.
AUCUAGCUGUAUGAGUAUUAAAUACCUGUCAUAAAGCUAGAUAACCGAAAGUAGAAAUUACUUCCACAUUCACGGUCAGGUAGGAAAUAAGGCCUAGGGUAUACCUACAACUAAUUAGGCCUUGGAACAAGUUUCGCCAAGUUCCACCUCAAAGGGAGACAAGAGAGGGGACAAAGACUGUGCCUGAUCCCCACCGGAUGGGUGCUGAAAGAGGAGAGAAAGGAGCCAUCUUGGGAGAUGUUGCCGCGGUACCUAAAAUGGCUGGGCUGGCACACGAGGUCUGGAUAUGGAGUCGUCAGGAUUCUGCAUACCCUAUUGGGGAUCCUGGUAUGGACCAAACAACCAUUAGACAGUUAAAACCAUCUCUGUCACUGUCAUAGUCAGUUUAUACAUCUGGCAUGAGGAGCUACAGUAGCCUACACUGUUCACAGAACCAGAGGACCACAACAAGCUAGAGGGAAGACGAUGGAAGAUUAUGCAAGAGGAUGCUUAAAAUAUACUUUGGCAAAAAUCACAAGAGACUAGAAAAUACUGGAGAAAUCUGAAAUUUUUUCAUGGAAUACAUUCACACAUUCACUCUUCCUUGAAUUUGUUGUUCUUUCACUGAUUCAAUGUAAUAAUAAUAAUGAAAAACAUAAACACACUUAUGUUCUCAAGUCACAAGUGACAUUCAAACUCUGCUGUGUGUGUGUGUAUGUGUAUGUGUGUGUAUGUGUGUGUGUGUGUGUGUGUGUGUGUGUGUGUGAGUGUGUGAGUGUGUGUGUGUGUGUGUGUGUGUGUGUGUGUGUGUGUGUGUGUGUGUGUGUGUGUGUGUGUGUGUGUGUGUGUGUGUGUGUGUGUGUGUGUGUGUGUGUGUGUGUGUGUGUGUGCGUGCGUGCGUGCGUGCGUGCGUGCGUGGCAUUGCUCUUUAUAAACCCUAAAGAAAGUGAUUCCACAUUGUUGUCAAUUAAAUGAUGUACAAUGAUCAUUUGUGUCUUGCUUCAUGUUCAUCAAUUUUUUAAGGGAUAGUAAAUGUGGAGAACCAAAAGAACACUUUGGGUGGGGAGUGGGCCGAAGGACACCUGCCUCAAACUAGAAUGAGAAAUGUAGCACAGGGGUAUGGGUGAUUAAAACAAUUGUAAUAUAGGCUACCAUGCUGAGAGAAACCCACCUCUUUGGAGCUGGCCAUCGUGCAAAGCAAACAACUUAUCAUUUAGUCCUCUUGUAUCAGUACCUUGGACAGCACCAUGUGUUGGGAUACAGCUCCCAGCUCCCACUUUUUCAUAUAACAAACUAAUUUAUGCAGGUGGGAGUGAGAAACAAUGGUGGCCUUAGUAAAUAUAAUACAAAUUGAAUAUUCCCAUAUUUAACGCAGUUAUUUCUGAAGUAGGUUAAAUCUGAAGUUAGACUUGUUUUGAGGGAGUUGUUUAAACUAUUAGAGGCUAUUCCUAAUUCCAGACUUGACAGACUUGAUUAGUGACUCCAUUUUCUGACACCAAAUCAGGUUUAGGAUUAUACAGUGUAGGUCUGAUUUGAUGGAACGAACAUUGACUCCAAUAUCUCACCCUUGACCUCAAUCAGUGUCCAUCCUGAUGACCAAAGUCAACAACAGAUGGACAGAAGUAAGAUCAAGAAGGGAUUAUUCAGUCGUUGUGUAGUUAUAAUCAAAACAUGUUUGAUGUGACAGGCAAAAAGUAGUAAAUAUAAUUAAAUGAAUGCUUAUCAUUGGUACUGAUGCUAACACUUACAAAGUUGUCAAGGAAAUUGUUUAAUUCAUGCUGGAAAACAGUCCAAAUAGUGCUGUUUUGGUGGAG